Molecule: ribosomal RNA, 253 nt
Filed under: uncultured bacterium
Lineage: Bacteria
Description: partial 16S ribosomal RNA
Rfam family: Bacterial small subunit ribosomal RNA
Source: RNAcentral
GACAGAGGGGGCGAGCGUUGACCGGAGUCACUGGGCGUAAAGCGCGCGCAGGAGGCAACCUUAGUGCCGUGUGAAAGCCCCCGGCUCAACCGGGGGAGGCCAUGGCAAACUGGGUCGCUCGAGCUGCGGAGAGGCCCCUCGAAUUGCCGGUGUAGCGGUGAAAUGCGUAGAGAUCGGCAGGAAGACCAAGGGGGAAGCCAGGGGGCUGGCCGCAGGCUGACGCUGAGGCGCGACAGCGUGGGGAGCAAACCGG